Long non-coding RNA from Sardina pilchardus (European sardine), 383 nucleotides. RefSeq lists it as uncharacterized. NCBI's taxonomy places the organism in Eukaryota, Metazoa, Chordata, Actinopteri, Clupeiformes, Clupeidae. The transcript has 4 exons. The record is from RefSeq and is a predicted model, not a curated record.
CUGCAGCCUGUUCUUUUGAAAGUUUCAUUGAAGAAUUUGCGCUAGUAGAUUCUUCUACUCCAAAUUCUUCACUUUUGAGUGGAGUGGUAUGGGGUGAUAUGGACUCUUCAAACAAGGCACAUCAAUCCACUGGUGCAGGAGGCGAGAACACCUGCCAUAGGAGAUGCAGCAGAGAAGGCCAAACGAAUGGUCCAGGAGGUUCUGGAAAAGAGUUCAGGGGGAGAGGAAAUAAUGGAGGAUUAUAGAAGAUCAAGCACCUUGAUUCACUGCACAAGAAGACUUCUUGUGAAUAUUCCAUCAGCCACAUGAUUGAAAUGCAUGGGAACACUUCUACGACCCUGUGAGUGGGACAGGCUAUGGCAUGGCGUCCAGAAACUGCGGCG